Long non-coding RNA from Dama dama (fallow deer), 939 nucleotides. RefSeq lists it as uncharacterized. NCBI's taxonomy places the organism in Eukaryota, Metazoa, Chordata, Mammalia, Artiodactyla, Cervidae. The transcript is spliced from 4 exons. The record is from RefSeq and is a predicted model, not a curated record.
GGAGUGAGUGGGGCUGGGGAAGGGUGAGGGACCAGACUGCAUUCUAUUUGCCUCUGAGUUGCCGCAUUUCUUCUGUGUCUGCCUGGAAUUGCAGCUGUGCCUUCCCAAGGCGGCCCGGACAUCCCAGGAGCUGAUUACAGAGCAGGCUGGCUGAGCUACCCCUUUGCUUCCCAUCUCUUUUGGCGCUCUCCACCCUUGCACCCCCUUCACCUGUUCUACAAAGCAGGAUUAAAAGGACUUUGGAGUCUGGAAUCUCUGGAUUCCGGAGCAGGCUCCAUGACUUAGUGAUUGUGUGAGCUCGGUAAAUAUCCAGAAGUGGGACUGUUGGAUCGUGCGUGGGUUAAGUUUGUCAUAAGAAGCUUCCAGACUACAUUACCACCAUCCUCUCAGCUCCCUGGCUAAUGAGUCAAGCAGUGGUGGUGUCAGGCCUCCGGUGAGGAUUCAACCAUACAAGAAGAGUGACGUUGUGCUGCAGACUUCUUGCCUGGGUGGCCUCAGCCUUGUCCAGGGUUUAUGGAGUCCUUCCGUCCUGGCAGGUUCCAGCAUUACUUGGCAGAGCCUUGCAUAGCAGUAUGUUUACUCAUUUGCUGCCUGUCAUCAGUCAAAUUUUUCAACUGGUUGAGCCUUUGAAGAAUUACUUUGUAAAUCAUUUUAAGUGUUUACAAUGGAAUUGAACAUUUUGUAAAUGAAUCCUCUAAAUUUUGUUCAAAAGCAAUUGAAAACCUUUGGUCAGAGUGUUCUUCAAGCCUGCCAAAAUAAACGUUAACUUUUAUCAAAUUUAAGGUACUGUAAGCAAAGCUUUCAUCAAAUUUCAGUUAUUUCACACUGGAAAACAUUUUCACAUAUCUCUCAAAAGCAAGGGAGUUGCUAAACAAAUUAAGUAACUAGAACAUGAGUGGUGGCCAAGAUUUAAUUUAGAGAUUCUCAAAUUUUUCUUUA